AGAGGGCAAAGUAGUACUCAUAUCUGCAAUAAGAUGACAUAAUUGUCAAUUACGCAUGAUAGAUAUAAAAAUAUUUUUCUUUAAUCAAAAUACAAUAAACAUGUUAACAAGAUACAUUAGAUAUAAUAUGUAAUUUGCCCUGCACUCUCCCCAAAUUUAACAAAACAAAAUAGGAGAAUUCGUUAUAACUUUAACAUUGGGUUGAGCAAAACCAGUAAAGACAUGAUAUUUAUGUUACAUUCAGGUUGAUUAAGCAUCAAGCUCAUACUUUAUGGGAGGAAUUCUCCGGUUUUCAGCUGGACUGAUGCCAUUGAGCAGAGCUUUCCGUGAAUGUAUUAUAAAAUGCUCAGUUGGGGAUAGAGAAGAAACCUUAUAGAUAAAAUCACCUGAAAGUAGAAUAAACAACAGAGUCAAGAUACAAUCCUGAAUAUCCAUCUGUUCCAUGUCCAAUCUUAAAAAGGCAAU
Molecule: unclassified non-coding RNA, 465 nt
Filed under: Hevea brasiliensis (rubber tree)
Lineage: Eukaryota; Viridiplantae; Streptophyta; Magnoliopsida; Malpighiales; Euphorbiaceae
Source: RNAcentral